This 2739-nucleotide ribosomal RNA is filed under the name Staphylococcus aureus F29993. RNAcentral describes it as "bacterial LSU rRNA". It matches the Rfam family "Bacterial large subunit ribosomal RNA". The record is from RNAcentral. Lineage: Bacteria; Bacillati; Bacillota; Bacilli; Caryophanales; Staphylococcaceae.
ACCCGGAGAACUGAAACAUCUUAGUACCCGGAGGAAGAGAAAGAAAAUUCGAUUCCCUUAGUAGCGGCGAGCGAAACGGGAAGAGCCCAAACCAAAAAGCUUGCUUGUUGGGGUUGUAGGACACUCUAUACGGAGUUACAAAGGACGACAUUAGACGAAUCAUCUGGAAAGAUGAAUCAAAGAAGGUAAUAAUCCUGUAGUCGAAAAUGUUGUCUCUCUUGAGUGGAUCCUGAGUACGACGGAGCACGUGAAAUUCCGUCGGAAUCUGGGAGGACCAUCUCCUAAGGCUAAAUACUCUCUAGUGACCGAUAGUGAACCAGUACCGUGAGGGAAAGGUGAAAAGCACCCCGGAAGGGGAGUGAAAUAGAACCUGAAACCGUGUGCUUACAAGUAGUCAGAGCCCGUUAAUGGGUGAUGGCGUGCCUUUUGUAGAAUGAACCGGCGAGUUACGAUUUGAUGCAAGGUUAAGCAGUAAAUGUGGAGCCGUAGCGAAAGCGAGUCUGAAUAGGGCGUUUAGUAUUUGGUCGUAGACCCGAAACCAGGUGAUCUACCCUUGGUCAGGUUGAAGUUCAGGUAACACUGAAUGGAGGACCGAACCGACUUACGUUGAAAAGUGAGCGGAUGAACUGAGGGUAGCGGAGAAAUUCCAAUCGAACCUGGAGAUAGCUGGUUCUCUCCGAAAUAGCUUUAGGGCUAGCCUCAAGUGAUGAUUAUUGGAGGUAGAGCACUGUUUGGACGAGGGGCCCCUCUCGGGUUACCGAAUUCAGACAAACUCCGAAUGCCAAUUAAUUUAACUUGGGAGUCAGAACAUGGGUGAUAAGGUCCGUGUUCGAAAGGGAAACAGCCCAGACCACCAGCUAAGGUCCCAAAAUAUAUGUUAAGUGGAAAAGGAUGUGGCGUUGCCCAGACAACUAGGAUGUUGGCUUAGAAGCAGCCAUCAUUUAAAGAGUGCGUAAUAGCUCACUAGUCGAGUGACACUGCGCCGAAAAUGUACCGGGGCUAAACAUAUUACCGAAGCUGUGGAUUGUCCUUUGGACAAUGGUAGGAGAGCGUUCUAAGGGCGUUGAAGCAUGAUCGUAAGGACAUGUGGAGCGCUUAGAAGUGAGAAUGCCGGUGUGAGUAGCGAAAGACGGGUGAGAAUCCCGUCCACCGAUUGACUAAGGUUUCCAGAGGAAGGCUCGUCCGCUCUGGGUUAGUCGGGUCCUAAGCUGAGGCCGACAGGCGUAGGCGAUGGAUAACAGGUUGAUAUUCCUGUACCACCUAUAAUCGUUUUAAUCGAUGGGGGGACGCAGUAGGAUAGGCGAAGCGUGCGAUUGGAUUGCACGUCUAAGCAGUAAGGCUGAGUAUUAGGCAAAUCCGGUACUCGUUAAGGCUGAGCUGUGAUGGGGAGAAGACAUUGUGUCUUCGAGUCGUUGAUUUCACACUGCCGAGAAAAGCCUCUAGAUAGAAAAUAGGUGCCCGUACCGCAAACCGACACAGGUAGUCAAGAUGAGAAUUCUAAGGUGAGCGAGCGAACUCUCGUUAAGGAACUCGGCAAAAUGACCCCGUAACUUCGGGAGAAGGGGUGCUCUUUAGGGUUAACGCCCAGAAGAGCCGCAGUGAAUAGGCCCAAGCGACUGUUUAUCAAAAACACAGGUCUCUGCUAAACCGUAAGGUGAUGUAUAGGGGCUGACGCCUGCCCGGUGCUGGAAGGUUAAGAGGAGUGGUUAGCUUCUGCGAAGCUACGAAUCGAAGCCCCAGUAAACGGCGGCCGUAACUAUAACGGUCCUAAGGUAGCGAAAUUCCUUGUCGGGUAAGUUCCGACCCGCACGAAAGGCGUAACGAUUUGGGCACUGUCUCAACGAGAGACUCGGUGAAAUCAUAGUACCUGUGAAGAUGCAGGUUACCCGCGACAGGACGGAAAGACCCCGUGGAGCUUUACUGUAGCCUGAUAUUGAAAUUCGGCACAGCUUGUACAGGAUAGGUAGGAGCCUUUGAAACGUGAGCGCUAGCUUACGUGGAGGCGCUGGUGGGAUACUACCCUAGCUGUGUUGGCUUUCUAACCCGCACCACUUAUCGUGGUGGGAGACAGUGUCAAGCGGGCAGUUUGACUGGGGCGGUCGCCUCCUAAAAGGUAACGGAGGCGCUCAAAGGUUCCCUCAGAAUGGUUGGAAAUCAUUCAUAGAGUGCAAAGGCAUAAGGGAGCUUGACUGCGAGACCUACAAGUCGAGCAGGGUCGAAAGACGGACUUAGUGAUCCGGUGGUUCCGCAUGGAAGGGCCAUCGCUCAACGGAUAAAAGCUACCCCGGGGAUAACAGGCUUAUCUCCCCCAAGAGUUCACAUCGACGGGGAGGUUUGGCACCUCGAUGUCGGCUCAUCGCAUCCUGGGGCUGUAGUCGGUCCCAAGGGUUGGGCUGUUCGCCCAUUAAAGCGGUACGCGAGCUGGGUUCAGAACGUCGUGAGACAGUUCGGUCCCUAUCCGUCGUGGGCGUAGGAAAUUUGAGAGGAGCUGUCCUUAGUACGAGAGGACCGGGAUGGACAUACCUCUGGUGUACCAGUUGUCGUGCCAACGGCAUAGCUGGGUAGCUAUGUGUGGACGGGAUAAGUGCUGAAAGCAUCUAAGCAUGAAGCCCCCCUCAAGAUGAGAUUUCCCAACUUCGGUUAUAAGAUCCCUCAAAGAUGAUGAGGUUAAUAGGUUCGAGGUGGAAGCAUGGUGACAUGUGGAGCUGACGAAUACUAAUCGAUCGAAGACUUAAUCAA